This 254-nucleotide ribosomal RNA is filed under the name uncultured bacterium. RNAcentral describes it as "partial 16S ribosomal RNA". It matches the Rfam family "Bacterial small subunit ribosomal RNA", at positions 524 to 776 of the family's 1533-position model. The record is from RNAcentral.
UACAGAGGGUGCGAGCGUUGUUCGGAAUUACUGGGUGUAAAGCGCGCGCAGGCGGCCCUUUAAGUCCAUCGGUCAAAUGCCGGAGCUCAACUCCGUGCGUGCCGAGGAUACUGGAGGGCUGGAGACACGUAGAGGCAAGCGGAAUUCCGGGUGUAGCGGUGGAAUGCGUAGAGAUGCGGAGGAACACCGAUGGCGAAGGCAGCCCCCUGGGCUAACACUGACGCUCAGGCACGAAAGCGUGGGGAGCAAACAGG